This 433-nucleotide ribosomal RNA is filed under the name uncultured bacterium. RNAcentral describes it as "partial 16S ribosomal RNA". It matches the Rfam family "Bacterial small subunit ribosomal RNA", at positions 28 to 507 of the family's 1533-position model. The record is from RNAcentral.
GACGAACGCUGGCGGCAGGCCUAACACAUGCAAGUCGAGCGGACCUUUCGGGGUCAGCGGCGGACGGGUGAGUAACGCGUGGGAAUAUGCCCUUCUCUACGGAAUAGUCCUGGGAAACUGGGGGUAAUACCGUAUACGCCCUUUGGGGGAAAGAUUUAUCGGGGAAGGAUUAGCCCGCGUUGGAUUAGGUAGUUGGUGGGGUAAUGGCCUACCAAGCCGACGAUCCAUAGCUGGUUUGAGAGGAAGGGCAGCCACACUGGGACGGGGACACGGCCCAGAAUCUUACGGGAGGGGGCAGUGGGGGAUCUUGGCAAACGGGGGCAAUCCUGAAGGCGCCAGGGCGGUUGAGCGAUGAUGGUCUGAGGGUAGAAAAGCUCUUUAAGCUGGCAAGAUAAUGACGGUACCAAAAGAAGAAGCCCCGGCUAACUUCGUG